This 468-nucleotide ribosomal RNA is filed under the name uncultured bacterium. Its description in RNAcentral is "partial 16S ribosomal RNA". It matches the Rfam family "Bacterial small subunit ribosomal RNA", at positions 28 to 507 of the family's 1533-position model. The record is from RNAcentral.
GACGAACGCUGGCGGCGUGCUUAACACAUGCCAGUCGAACGGAAAGGCCCUGCUUUUGUGGGGUGCUCGAGUGGCGAACGGGUGAGUAACACGUGAGUAACCUGCCCUUGACUUUGGGAUAACUUCAGGAAACUGGGGCUAAUACCGGAUAGGAGCUCCUGCGGCAUGGUGGGGGUUGGAAAGUUUCGGCGGUUGGGGAUGGACUCGCGGCUUAUUAGCUUGUUGGUGGGGUAGUGGCUUACCAAGGCUUUGACGGAUAGUCGGCCUGAGAGGGUGACCGGCCACAUUGGGACUGAGAUACGGCCCAGACUCCUACGGGAGGCAACAGUGGGGAAUAUUGCACAAUGGGCGGAAGCCUGAUGCAGCAACGCCGCGUGCGGGAUGACGGCCUUCGGGUUGUAAACCGCUUUCGCCUGUGACGAAGCGUGAGUGACGGUAAUGGGUAAAGAAGCACCGGCUAACUACGUG